GGGAAGCUUACAUGGGCAGUCGAGGGGCAUCGGGAGGGAAGCUUGCUUUCCUUGCCGGCGACCGGCGCACGGGUGAGUAACACGUAUGCAACCUGCCCUCUUCAGGGGGACAACCUUCCGAAAGGGAGGCUAAUCCCGCGUAUAUCGGUUUCGGGCAUCCGAGAUCGAGGAAAGAUUCAUCGGAAGAGGAUGGGCAUGCGGCGCAUUAGCUUGACGGCGGGGUAACGGCCCACCGUGGCGACGAUGCGUAGGGGUUCUGAGAGGAAGGUCCCCCACACUGGUACUGAGACACGGACCAGACUCCUACGGGAGGCAGCAGUGAGGAAUAUUGGUCAAUGGGAGAGAUCCUGAACCAGCCAAGCCGCGUGAGGGAAGACGGCCCUAUGGGUUGUAAACCUCUUUUGUCGGAGAACAAAACCCGGGACGUGUCCCGGACUGCGUGUAUCCGAAGAAAAAGCAUCGGCUAACUCCGUGCCAGCAGCCGCGGUAAUACGGAGGAUGCGAGCGUUAUCCGGAUUUAUUGGGUUUAAAGGGUGCGUAGGCGGUCCGUUAAGUCAGCGGUAAAAUUGCGGGGCUCAACCCCGUCGAGCCGUUGAAACUGGCAGACUUGAGUUGGCGAGAAGUACGCGGAAUGCGCGGUGUAGCGGUGAAAUGCAUAGAUAUCGCGCAGAACUCCGAUUGCGAAGGCAGCGUACCGGCGCCAGACUGACGCUGAGGCACGAAAGCGUGGGGAUCGAACAGGAUUAGAUA
RNAcentral lists this ribosomal RNA (750 nucleotides) under uncultured bacterium. RNAcentral describes it as "bacterial SSU rRNA". It matches the Rfam family "Bacterial small subunit ribosomal RNA", at positions 41 to 784 of the family's 1533-position model. The record is from RNAcentral.